Molecule: ribosomal RNA, 440 nt
Filed under: uncultured bacterium
Lineage: Bacteria
Description: partial 16S ribosomal RNA
Rfam family: Bacterial small subunit ribosomal RNA
Source: RNAcentral
CCUACGGGUGGCAGCAGUGGGGAAUAUUGCACAAUGGGGGAAACCCUGAUGCAGCGACGCCGCGUGAGUGAAGAAGUAUCUCGGUACGUAAAGCUCUAUCAGCAGGGAAGAAAAUGACGGUACCUGACUAAGAAGCCCCGGCUAACUACGUGCCAGCAGCCGCUGUAAUACGUAGGGGGCAAGCGUUAUCCGGAUUUACUGGGUGUAAAGGGAGCGGAGACGGCAGCACAAGUCUGGAGUGAAAUCCCCGGGCUUAACCCCGGGACUGCUUUGGAAACUGUGCGGCUGGAGUGCUGGAGGGGUAAGCGGAAUUCCUAGUGUAGCGGUGAAAUGCGUAGAUAUUAGGAAGAACACCGGUGGCGAAGGCGGCUUACUGGACUGUAACUGACGUUGAGGCUCGAAAGCGUGGGGAGCAAACAGGAUUAGAUACCCCAGUAGUC